UUUUCCUUUUUUUUUUUUUUUUUUUCUUUUCGAAGCACAAACAAUGGAGCUAAAAGGUUGGGUAUCAGGCCGAUAAUCAUGAAUGACGUGUCGUUAUUACACACCACACAUUCAUUAUCUCCCACUCCAGCCAUGUCACAGGCGGCUGGAGGAGGGCAGAUAACGGGGUGCCUUCAUGCAGAUGGCUUAUUAUCAGGAUGUUCCAGGAGGGGCUUUAAGACAGUUAGUGAUGCUGUUUGCCAGUUAAAGAUUAGAGACCCCAGAGAAUAAUUAACAAUCCCAAAACCCAGUUUUUCUGCUGGAUUCUUCAGCUUUCUCCCCCCUCCCCCAUUCUCUUUAAUCUAUUCACUCUAGCAGGUGUAAUAAAGUGAUAAGGACAGGCUCCGGGGAUGUUUGUUUGGCUACUACGGGUGUAUAAACCAACAAUAGAUGGUAUUUUUCUCCUGGCUUUCAGUGGCUUGAAUCGAGACCAAAAACUUUGCAGCCCCCUUGCCCACACACAGCCACCCCUCCAUGCCAUGCUCCUGGCUUCUACCUGGGUGGCUGGGCUCCUUCCCCACCCAAAGAACCACAGGGGUGGGACAGGCUCCCUUUUUUCCUCUGGAGAUCCAAAUCACACCUCCUGUGUGUCAAGGUGCCCAAUUCCAGGAUGUAAACCCCAGGUUUGCUCAGGUGGAGGGAUAGAGCUGGUGCUGCUUCCAGCAGCAUUUUACCUGAAUACAGCAAAUCUGUAAUUAAGCUAUGUUGGGAUAAUUUAUAUCAUAGGUGUCCACCUGCCCAAACUGCUCCUGGAACAGAAACAUCUCAAACCUUCAGAGCUAAAGAGCCUCAGGAGAGAUCAGGGAAGCAGCAAAGGCGGCUUUCAACAAGGUAUUUCAUUAUCUGGGGCUCCAAGAGAUGGACUGCACCCUCCUAGGUCACAAAGAAAAGUCAUGAUACACCUGCUAACAAACUGGGGAUGCAAAAAAACCCCACCCUGAAUAUCUUCUGCCCCAAAGGAGACUACCCUGUCUGCAGCAGAACACAACCCUGGACAUCUUCCUGAAGCCCAAGGCUUCAGAGAUAAUGGCAUUAAGGAGUGGGGGGUAGGAUGAGAACUCGUGGUAUCCUUACCUUUCACUGGUGGGCUUGGGGAGGCUUGUGAAGGACCUUCAUCCCCCUGUGCUGUGUGGAGAGAGGUGUUGGGGAGGAUUUGGCCCUCAGGCGAGUUGGCUUUGGGCCCUUCAGAGAGGUCACUGAGGUGGGAGGUGCCUCGCACCCGGGGGUCUCAGGUACAGCCCGGACUCUGGAGGACAUUCCCCAGCUCAUGGUGCAGUGUGGAAGGCACAAGCACUGGCACUCCAGAAGUUGUCUUCCCAAUCACGCUCAUCCUGCCAGGGAGGGAUGAGACAGCAUUGUGCUUUAAAGAGCAUCCCGACCCUAUCAGCAAGAGAUGAGAUAUCCUAAUUACGGCAGUACAGACGAGGAUCUGGGCUGUAUCAGCCAGUACAGAAAGGUAAACAAGAAAUAUAACAAUGGACCCUUAACACUCAUUAGCUGUGUCAGAUAAUACCUCACUUUUCUCCCUUUGGGGCUUAAAAUCUAAUUAAGAUUUUCCAACAAUAAAUUUCAUUUACGCUCGCUCCCUUUUGUUCUUUUUAGGAUCACACCGAGAAGCAUCUGCAAGUGACUGCACAGCUUGCAGGAAGGCAGCUUCAGCCAGCCUCGGCUUGUGCUUCACAGGCAAGAGAAACUGAGGCAGGACAGCACCCUGGACAGUGCAGAGAACCUGUUGACCACGAAGGCGAUGGCCACCAGGACUAGGAACACAACCACUGCGAUGACACCCUGUGACCACGGCUGGAGGCUGCCCCGGGCUGCAGGGAGAGAAGAGGACACGGGUUAGAAAUUCGUCCUCAGGCUUUAUCUGCCAAGCUCCUCCCAUCCAGCUUCAGCAAGGUCCAGAUGAGAGCUUGAUCCUGCAAAUCGGAGCAGAACAUGUUGCUGUCGAUUCAGGCAGGCUUACCUGGUGAUAGCAAUGAAAUAAAAUACAAUUAACAGCGUU
Molecule: non-coding RNA, 2044 nt
Organism: Taeniopygia guttata (zebra finch)
Lineage: Eukaryota; Metazoa; Chordata; Aves; Passeriformes; Estrildidae
Source: RefSeq, a predicted model, not a curated record